CCUUGUGUUCUUUCUUCAAUUUAAUUUACGGGCCAAGAGAAGACUAUUUGAAGAUCAAGAAGCAGGGUUGGGAUGACAUGGAUCUCUUUUGAUGUUGGGCUUUAAACAAAAAAAAAUCUUAUUAGGAAGAACUGCUAGAUUUCUGUCCCAAAAAAAAAACAUGUUGCCCUUGGAUUCUUUAAAGUUGACAUGAUGAAUGUCAUGAAGCUGGAUUUUUAGUUUACUGUGUUCUAGAAAAUAAUAUUUGUCUCCUGUUUGUGAAUCAUAUUGUUCAAAGUUCAUGCACAUUGCGUAGCAUUGCCUGGUUGGCAUAAUUUUUG
This is a non-coding RNA of Vigna umbellata (rice bean), 320 nucleotides long. The record is from RefSeq and is a predicted model, not a curated record. NCBI's taxonomy places the organism in Eukaryota, Viridiplantae, Streptophyta, Magnoliopsida, Fabales, Fabaceae.